This 631-nucleotide unclassified non-coding RNA is filed under the name Caenorhabditis elegans. RNAcentral describes it as "Non-coding transcript of protein-coding gene M04B2.7e". Lineage: Eukaryota; Metazoa; Nematoda; Chromadorea; Rhabditida; Rhabditidae. The record is from RNAcentral.
UCAAUUUAACCAGAAAGUCAACGGUCAACCGGAAGAGGGCGAUGAGCCGACAGUAUCAUCUCUUCUGUCCUCUUCCAAUUCUACUUCCCAUCAUUCAAACUCUACAAAUCGUCGAAUUACACUGAUGGACUUUUUCGACGUUCGAAAAUUUCAAUCAUCGCAUCGCGAUUUCGUUGUCAACGAUGGUCGGCUUCACGUGGUUUCAGAUUAUUCCCUUAUUGCAUUGCUUCCUGUCAUAUUAGUUGGAUUAUUGAUAACAACUAUAUUCUGUGUCUAUAGAUUUCGAAGGUGGAAACAUAAUAAAAAACAACUAGCCGAAUUAAAUGCAUUUUAUGAAAUUGUAGAAUCAUCGCCAUGUUUAGCUUCUGGAAAACCUUAUCUAAUACAACAUUGCAAAGAUGUAGAGAAAUCCGAAUGUGAUCGAAUAACUCGUGCAGUUUGCGUUCCCACUCAAAGUUCAAUAUUCUUUCAACCAAUUCCACCGAAAGCAAAAUCAGUUCGAUGUAACAGUGAUGUACUGAAAGCAGUGAAUGCAAGUGAAGUAUUAUUUCAUUUUGCUCAACUACCAACAAUCGAAAAAAUCAAUAAUAAUAACAAUAAAAAAUCAUUGCACUUCAUUCAUCGAGUUUAG